RNAcentral lists this ribosomal RNA (500 nucleotides) under uncultured bacterium. RNAcentral describes it as "bacterial SSU rRNA". It matches the Rfam family "Bacterial small subunit ribosomal RNA", at positions 900 to 1404 of the family's 1533-position model. The record is from RNAcentral.
CUCAAAGGAAUUGACGGGGACCCGCACAAGCGGUGGAUGAUGUGGUUUAAUUCGAUGCAACGCGAAAAACCUUACCCACCUUUGACAUGUACGGAAUCCUUUAGAGAUAGAGGAGUGCUCGAAAGAGAGCCGUAACACAGGUGCUGCAUGGCUGUCGUCAGCUCGUGUCGUGAGAUGUUGGGUUAAGUCCCGCAACGAGCGCAACCCUUGCCAUUAGUUGCUACGAAAGGGCACUCUAAUGGGACUGCCGGUGACAAACCGGAGGAAGGUGGGGAUGACGUCAAGUCCUCAUGGCCCUUAUAGGUGGGGCUACACACGUCAUACAAUGGCUGGUACAAAGGGUUGCCAACCCGCGAGGGGGAGCCAAUCCCACAAAGCCAGUCGUAGUCCGGAUCGCAGUCUGCAACUCGACUGCGUGAAGUCGGAAUCGCUAGUAAUCGUGGAUCAGAAUGUCACGGUGAAUACGUUCCCGGGUCUUGUACACACCGCCCGUCACACCA